This 497-nucleotide ribosomal RNA is filed under the name uncultured bacterium. RNAcentral's name for it is "partial 16S ribosomal RNA". It matches the Rfam family "Bacterial small subunit ribosomal RNA", at positions 28 to 507 of the family's 1533-position model. The record is from RNAcentral.
GACGAACGCUGGCGGCGUGCCUAAUACAUGCAAGUUGAGCGAUGAAGAUUGGUGCUUGCACCAAUUUGAAGAGCAGCGAACGGGUGAGUAACGCGUGGGGAAUCUGCCUUUCAGCGGGGGACAACCUUUGGAAACGAAUGCUAAUACCACAUAACAACUUUAAACAUAAGUUUUAAGUUUGAAAGAUGCAAUUGCAUCACUCAAAGAUGAUCCCGCGUUGUAUUAGCUAGUUGGUGAGGUAAAGGCUCACCAAGGCGAUGAUACAUAGCCGACCUGAGAGGGUGAUGGGCCAUAUUGGGACUGAGACACGGCCCAAACUCCUACGGGAGGCAGCAGUAGGGAAACUUCGGCAAUGGACGAAAGUCUGACCGAGCAACGCCGCGUGAGUGAAGAAGGUUUUCGGAUCGUAAAACUCUGUUGGUAGAGUAGAACACUGGUGAGACUGGAAAGCUCAUCAAGUGACGGUAACUUCCCAGAAAGGGACGGCUAACUACGUG